CCUACGGGAGGCUGCAGUGGGGAAUAUUGGGCAAUGGGCGCAAGCCUGACCCAGCAACGCCGCGUGAAGGAAGAAGGCUUUCGGGUUGUAAACUUCUUUUAAGGGGGAAGAGCAGAAGACGGUACCCCUUGAAUAAGCUACGGCUAACUACGUGCCAGCAGCCGCGGUAAUACGUAGGGGGCAAGCGUUGUCCGGAUUUACUGGGUGUAAAGGGCGUGCAGCCGGAGAGACAAGUCAGAUGUGAAAUCCACGGGCUCAACCCGUGAACUGCAUUUGAAACUGUUUCCCUUGAGUGUCGGAGGGGUAAUCGGAAUUCCUUGUGUAGCGGUGAAAUGCGUAGAUAUAAGGAAGAACACCAGUGGCGAAGGCGGAUUACUGGACGAUAACUGACGGUGAGGCGCGAAAGCGUGGGGAGCAAACAGGAUUAGAUACCCGUGUAGUC
RNAcentral lists this ribosomal RNA (442 nucleotides) under uncultured bacterium. Its description in RNAcentral is "partial 16S ribosomal RNA". It matches the Rfam family "Bacterial small subunit ribosomal RNA", at positions 338 to 795 of the family's 1533-position model. The record is from RNAcentral.